Molecule: long non-coding RNA, 238 nt
Filed under: Panax ginseng (ginseng)
Lineage: Eukaryota; Viridiplantae; Streptophyta; Magnoliopsida; Apiales; Araliaceae
Description: long non-coding RNA (PGIN_LNC010857)
Source: RNAcentral
GCUUAUUUGUAUUCUCUUUUCUCUUUAAUUGAGACUAAAUCGUCUCUUCUUUCAAAAGAGUUCCCACCUACCGCUAUUACUACUAACAAGAGACUAGCAGCGGCAAGAGAGCAAUUCUCUUCCCUUCUUUCUUCACUCAUAGUUCUAGCUUUCUUUCUAAGAUAAGUAAGAUCGGUGCCUUUGCUCUGGGAAGACCUCUCGCUCAAUAUGCUCUUCACCCCGAAAGGUUCACUUGGGA